Numida meleagris (helmeted guineafowl) is the source of this 4393-nucleotide long non-coding RNA. RefSeq lists it as uncharacterized. The transcript has 3 exons. Lineage: Eukaryota; Metazoa; Chordata; Aves; Galliformes; Numididae. The record is from RefSeq and is a predicted model, not a curated record.
UUCUCUACUCUUUUCUGGAAAAAUUCUGCAGUAGUAUGCACUACAUAUGAAUAUUUAUUAGAGGAAAAUAAUGGUGAUACCCAUAUUUGAAUUUUAAUCUGAGAUUUUGGAUAUUAUUAACUUCCCUGGCAGUAUUAAGAGGAAUAAUUCCAUUUUCUCGUACUGAAAAAACUGCAAAUGAACAACAAGUAAAUAGAACUGAAUUGUCUUUUGUAAAGACCUGAGCGAGACUGAGGGUAUGCAGGCUACAUGUGAAAGCUUACAGAAAGCCAGACAGACUUAAAGUGUCGAGGACCUCUUUGCCUUGAGUUCUGCCCCAAGUUGCCCAACUCCAGGGACAGAUCUGCGGGCCCUGCCUAUGUGCCUGCAGCCCUAUAAUAUGGUUCUGUUACAGUCUCAGAGGUGUUUUGAUUUAGUUUCACAUUGUUUGCUCUGCUGAGAAAAGUUUUGGCCUUAAUGGCUGAAAGGAAAAAAGUCUUGAAAACUGAAACCAAACGAAGCCUGUGGCAAGAGCAUUGGCCUCCAUCUGCAGGGUUGUGACAAGAGACAGGAGUGCAGGAGAGAGGACUAUGUGCAGUUCCCCCAGCUAUUGGCAAAUUCCCUUUGGAGAAGUACUGGGAGACCUCCUGCAUGUGUCUGCAGCACUCUGUGGCUGAAGGGUGUCCCCAUGCAAUGAGGUUGUCCCUGUCCAAGCCGCUGCCGUCAGGUUCAUUAUGUGAAGCAAUGUUGAGGAUACAAGCUGGAUUCCUCUUGAAUAAAACAGACCCAGAAAAUGUUCUCCAGAGUCACUCCUCAAGCAUCCUGGCUGCAAAUUGCUGAUCAGAGUGUGUGGGUAUCAAAAAUUUCAGGACAACAGUAGAGAAAACAUUAAGAAGCACCAAUGGAGUUCUCCAUGUGAACCUGGAGGCAAUCGCUGCACUGUAUUUGAACAAUUUCUCUCAAUUCUCCACUGACUUGAGCAAGUGAAACAUACUCUAUGUCUAAAAUGCAGUGGCUGUCGCCACCGCACCUCCUCCCACCAUGACAUGGCAGUGACAUGGCAGCUGCUACCUGUUGCCACUAGAACACGGCUGCUGUGUCUCUAUCCCACAGUGACACAGCUUGCAAAGAUGCACUUGCCUCUUUUUACAAUUAAUAACUAAUUAAUUAAAUAAAAGCAUAUGACUCAUCACUGUUCUGGGUGGGGGUAAGUUAGGGUAGGUAAGGCUGGAUUAAGUUGUGAAGAAAAGCGCACAGUUUAUUGCUGUGUGUUGCUGGAAAGUGUUUAGCAAUUGCAUUGUGGCUCUACGUCGCGUUGUCAUUGUGCUCUCAUUGCCUUUUUUGUCUUCUGUCUUCAAACAUAUUAUUUAUUUCUUCCCACCUGGUCAGUUUCAUAUCCAGUUCCCUCCCUCAUCCCACUUCAGUAGUCUGAUCAAAGGACAUUGUGGUCCUGAGUGGCUGCCAGGUUACAGCACACCAAAGAGCCCACUGGCGCCCAACCUCUGCUCCUCUGAGUGUCCUUGUGUGCUGGAAAAUGAUCAGAAUGUUCAUAAACGUGGAGAAAGGUUGAGAGUAGCCACACUGCUGACCACGGGCACGGAGCAUACGCUCUGCAGAGCAGAGGUGAGGGACAGCGCUCCUCAGGCCGAGAGGUGCUGCAUUCCUUGCCCCCCACAUAGCUCAGGCAUGCCUGUUGGCCUCACAAACAGGCUGAAUUGCUGCAGAACACCCAGCAGAGGCACGGUUCCAUAGAUGAAGACAAAACAGCAGCAGAUGGGUACUAACGGAAUGUUUCUAAUACUGCCAUCCCAACCCUGCCUUCAGCCCGCACCUGGGGGGCACUGCUGAGGCGAGCUGCGCUGGACAAAGCCCCUGAGACUGGCUGAGGGGCACGGAGAGUCCCGGAUUCAGCUGAAGAGGGGCUAACACUCCACAACUGGGUGGGCUGGAGCCGCUGCCAUGAAGGGUAGCAGUGGGCCAGGCCAGGCCAGGGCCGCCAUUGGGUGGAGCUGUUUCGUACCCUGUGACCUCACACUGAUGCCUUAAUGCUGUGGGCGGAGGGCAGUUGGUGAGCAGUUGGGGCUGCUGGCCUGCAGAGUGAGCUGCUGGAUAGCAGUUGGCACUGCUGAUUAGCAGUUGGCACUGCUGGUUUGCAGUGAGAGCUGCUGGAAAGCAGUUGGAGCUGCUGGAAAGCAGUUGGAUCUGCUGGAUACCAGCUGACACAGCUGGUUUGCAGUUGGUGCUGCUGGUUAGCAGUUGGAGCUGCUGGAUAGCAGUUGGAGCUGCCGUAUGGCAGUUUGUGCUGCUGGUCUGCAAGUGUGAGCUGCUGGUUAGCAGUUGGCGCUGCUGGAUAGCAGUUUGAGCUGCUGGAUAGCAGUUGGCACGGCUGGCAACCAGUUAGCACUGUCGUAUGGCAGUUUGAGCUGCUGGUUUGCAGCUGGCACUGCAGUUUAGUCUCUGUGUUGGUUCUGGCCUUGAUCAGCAGUAUCUAUGGCUGUACAUCACUUAGUGACUGGGCUGCUGCCUGCCGCCCGGCUCUUCCGGGCAUCUACUACGCCGCCUAGCUCUUUUGGACAUCUGCUACGCUGCUUGCCUCGUCUUGUAAUCUACUAUGCUGCCUGCCUUUUCCUGGCAUCUACUACACCGCUUGGCUCUUCUUGGAAACUACUACGCAGACUGGCUCUUGGAAUCUACCGUGCUGCCUGCCUCUUCUUUGGAAUCUACUGUGCUGCCUGCCUCUUCUUUGGAAUCUACUACGCUGCCUGCCUCUUUUUUGGAAUAUUCCACGCUGCCUGCCUCUUUUUUGGAAUCUACUACUCUGCCUGCCUCUUCUUGGAAUCUGCUACAACACCUGCCUCUACUUGGAAUCUACUGCGCUACCUGUAUCUUCUUUGGAAUAUACUACGCUGCCUGCAGCUUCUUUGGAAUAUACUAUGCCGCCUGCAGCUUCUGUGGAAUAUACUACACCUCCUGCAGCUUCUGUGACAUAUACUACGCCACUUGUAUCUUCUUUGGGAUACUCUACGCUGCCUGCCUCUUCUUUUGCGUGUACUACACUGCCUGCGUCUUCUUUGGAACACACGACGGCAUCUGCCUCUUUGGAGUAUAUUACGCCUCCUGCCUCUUCUUGGAAUAUGCUACACUACCAGCACCUUCUCGGAACAUAUGAUGCCAUUUGCCUCUUCUUGGACUACACUGUGCCGCCUGCCUCUUCUUGGACUAUACUUCGCCGCCUGCCUCUUCUUGCAAUAUACUGUGCUGCCUGGCUCCUUCUGGACUAUACUGUGCAACCUGCCUCUGUUAUGGAAUAUGCUACGGCACCUGCCUCUUCUAUGGAAUAUUCUGUGCCACCUGCCUCUGCUAUGGAAGACACUACACAGCCUGAUGGUUUUACGUAAAGUACUAUGCCAGCUGCUUCUGCUAUGGAAUACGCUACGUUGCCUGCCUCGUUUACGGAAUAUACUAUACCACCUGCCUCGUCUAUGGAAUAUACCAAGCUGCGUGUCUCCUUUUGGAGUACACCUUGCUGCCAGGCUCUUUCUGGAAUAUACCACGCUGCGUGGCUCCAUUUGGAACACAGCAUGCCGCCUGACUAUCUUUGGAACAUACCAUGCCAGCUGGCUGUCAUUGGAGCGUAGCAUGCAGGCUGGUUCUCUUUGGCAUAUACCAUGCAGCCUGGCUCUCUUUGGAAUAUGCCACACCGACUGACUCGCUUUGGAAUACACCGUACUUCCUGGCUCUCUUGGGAAUAGAGUACGCCGCCUGGCUCUCCUUGAAAUAGAGUACACCACCUGGCUCUUUCCAUUAAAUUUGCAAUGUCUCUUUGUUUACAUAACUGUACUGCAUUUUCCUUGUUGUAUCAUAGAAUGGCAUGGUUUGGAAUGGACCUCAAGAAUCGUCAACUUCCAACUCCCCUGCCGCAGGGGAUUAAUGAGGCCAUUUUGUCCAUCCCCUUCUUCAAACCAGAUCGUCUCAGUUGAGGGAUGGUAUGCAACCGCAUGCCAUUUACUUGCAUUUCCUCUGCUGGACCUAUCUGUGUACCAGCCAUCCUCUGAAAUUGGAUAUUUUCCCUUAUGUGUGGGACUCUUCUGUGGUGGAGUGACGGAAACCUCCUGGGGUGCAUCGCCAGUGGAAGCCCACCUAGAAACCAGUGGCAGGUGAGCACCCAGCGAGGUUACAGCCAUGCUUUGGAAGCCAUUGCCACACAUUCUGCUCCUGUGGGUGAGUCCCUUCCUGCACUCAUACAUUCCGGCUCAAAGAAGCGUGUAGCUAAGUGCCCUGGCAGGACUGCCAAGCUGUGACUCAUCUACAGCACUGGGGUGAAAGUGCCUUGAUCUUCAUCCACUGAAGAAAAGCCUGGAAGGCUUUUAGAUGCCCAUAAAAUAAAGAGGUUUUAUUAGAGAGUUUACAACAG